RNAcentral lists this long non-coding RNA (1904 nucleotides) under Nicotiana benthamiana. RNAcentral's name for it is "long non-coding RNA (NBEN_LNC028317)". Lineage: Eukaryota; Viridiplantae; Streptophyta; Magnoliopsida; Solanales; Solanaceae. The record is from RNAcentral.
AACAGUUCAAAUGACAAGGACUUUAUCAAUUAACUAAAAUAAAUAUCUACCUUUAACAUACCACCCACUAAUAACUAGUAAUACUAUUUUAUCUCCAAAUUUUUAUAAGAAUGAGCGUUACUCAACAUAAGUUUAUAAUGACAAAGACUACUCAGACACUAAAAGAAUGACUAUGGAGCGACAUUAGAAUUCAAAAAAAAAAAAGACCAUAACAAUAAAUAAAACAUCCGCCCAUGCGAACAAGUGCAAGGCUCACCAAGAACUAUCAACGUGUGCGCUCUAAUUAACGAAAUCAUCGCCUGUAUCAACUGUUGUCUCUGUAAAAAAAUUAGCGGGGAGUGAGUCACUAGCUCAGUGAGUAAUAACAUUUAACCACAACCAUUUUUAUUCGGGACAAGUCAGAAAACAUGCUAGUAGAUCAAACAGAAAAUAACAUAAAAAUGCCCUUUCAGAAAUAAUAAAUCUUUUUCAGUCUCAUCACGCUUUUCUUAUAGUAUAAUAUAAUUAACAAUUCAAUAAUAAGCUUGGUAACCACUGUAAAAUAUUAGUAUUUACAUUUUGGGAGGUUUCAAUGAAUAAAUCAUGUAAUCGAUAUAACUGUGGACUUCUUUGCAAGAAGUCAUAUAUAACGGUAGUCCCUACUCGAGGGAAAUCGGUAAAGGUAUGCUAGUUAUAUCUACCCACUAGUGAGGGCUAUAACUGUACUCUGUAAUAGGUAAAUACAAGGUGCACCAAGUCUAACGAACCCGUCGUUAGCUACGGGAUCCUUCAAUGUCGACUCUCAUUUAUACUUGUCUCUGUAAUUCGUAUAUACUCAUAGAAACUAUUUUAAAAUAAUAUAGGGCAUUUUGGUUCUUAUCAAAUCAUAUAAUUUCUUUUCGAUAACAAUAAAUUUAAGUAACGGUAAAACAGAUCUAGUGACAACAAAAAUAUUUAAAACCACAGUACUAAUCUCAAAUAACUAUUUCGGUAUCAUAUCGAGUAAAAGACUUUUCCCACAUGCAACUCAAAAUAGUCGGUAACAUAUUCAUAUUAAAAAUCAUGUGUAAAUCAUGAAAGUUACGAAAAUACAAUUUGCGGUAAGAUUACUACUCACAGUACUCAUGCCGAAAUACCAACUGCUUAACCUCAAACAACUCGUAUAAAUUCCUCCAAUCAAUCUAUAAUUACAUAAUAUCAAUCUGAUGUUAAUUUCCUUAUUUAGGUUAAUUCAUAACUAUUUUAGAAUACCUCAAUCUUCCUAGUUUUAUACCUUAUCAUCAAUUCGCCGAAUUAUAUUUACCCAUGCUGUGAGUAAUUUAAAUUAGUCCAAAAUCAUUUAAAUAAAAGGAUAUUUAUAUGGUUUAUUCCCUUUAUUGAUCAAUUCCCUUAGUCGUGAGUAUAAAUUUGAACUGAAAUAACUUUAUCGUCAAUAAUAUUCCUGCUUAAUUAAUACCUAUAUUUUGUACUCAAUAUUAGACUCAUAACUUUCAAAUCCAAAUUUGAUAUUAUCUUUAAUACAUUUAAACACCAAAACUCAAUCCUUGCACCAUAACUUAAUUUACACCUAAUAAAGAUCAUAUAUAAUGAGACUAGUUUAAGUACAAAUACAUCAAUACCCUUCUUUUUCCAAGUUAAUUUAUCCUAUUAUAUUGACCAACUUUCAAUUGCAUAAUUUUCCCAAAAUAACUCUUAUUGUUAUUAAAUUUAUCAUACCUUAUGAAACCCUUCAAAAUAUGAAUUGAGAUAAAAAGAAUUACCAGAAAAAAAUAAUUCAGAUGAAAAAUUUGAGUGUUACCCGUAAGAAUCAGUGCGUAAGGUUUGAUACCAACCUUUUUUCUUCUUCUUUUUUUAUUUUUUUGUUGUUGUUGCGUUUCUGCAUUUCUGCUUCGACUAGCAGCAACCCCUUCCUUUUCCCCCUUUUU